CUCUGCCUUCAUCCAGGCGAGGGGUGGGGGUGAAAGGAUGGGAGAGGGACCCUCCUCCUCUGGAGCUGGGGCUCCGAUGUGCUCACUUGGUUUUGCCUCUUGAAGGGUCUUGGUUUUUAAAGUGGCUUUGAAGCAAUGCUCUCCCGUGGACUGCAACCUGUCACCGCACCCUGUCAUCCGUCGAGUAAUUAAAAUCUGACUGAUUUACUGACUGGCACCGACCAUCACAGCUCAGGAGUCAGCUGAUGCUCAUCUUUCCCAAGGCUGAAUUUACGUGGCGAAAAGAGACCGCUGGCUCCCGAGCCGAGCUGUCAUUCAGGCACUGUGGAAACCGAAUUAAAACCAGUAAACUCGGACUAGAGAGCUCCAGGUCAAGUCCAGCCUCUCCCUCUGACUGGCCACACACACUCGGGAAAGGCACCACACUGCUGGGACUUCAUUCUCUUUCCUGUGAAAUGGGAGGGACCGUAGUCACCCUACAGGGCUCCAGGGAGGAGCAAGAGGAGGCCAGGAGUCAGAAAGCCAUUAGCAAACUCAAAGCAUGAUGCAAACGAUGGGCGCCCUAUGUCUAUUUCAAGAGUUCUCUGAGGAAAGAGGAAGAAAGUCUGCCAGGGCCUUGCAACCAUCAUGCUGGAUCCACAGGUCGACCUGGUCCUGGAGAACAAGGCAGGGCCCUCAAAGUGAGGUCCAGCCAAACCCCAGGCCCACCAAGUACUCACCUGCUGCGUAACACUGUCAUUUCCACAAAAUACCCAAAGACACGGCUCGGCUCGGCUUCUGACCCCGGGAAAACACAUGGCUUUAUUUAUUAUUUUUUUUAGUGAGAAAGACCUCAUCUCAAGCAGAAGAGCAGAGUUUUCAAUGCCACUCUCGCAUAGUAUUACACGGAGCGUCGUUUCCAAAUUGAUGAUGUUACUUAAUCAAAUGUCACGCUGGUAUUCUUGAGAGCAUUGAAAACAAAGGAAUAAAGAGUUCUUUACCACAAUUGGGCUUUUAUUUUAGUGUCUAAGCAAACCUCAUAUAUGUCCUACUGUCUGCCAAAAUGAGCUCUAGGUAUUUUUCUGAUACACUCCUCACAUAAUCCCCCCAAAAGGGAGGGAGGCAGGGAGAGAGGGAGGAAAGAGGGUGAAGAAAAGCAGAGGGGAGAGUUAGAGAGGAGUGAAGGAGGUGGCGUGGCGGGGCUGGCUGUGCCUG
This 1194-nucleotide long non-coding RNA is filed under the name Equus caballus (horse). RNAcentral's name for it is "lncRNA (ENSECAG00000051053.1)". The record is from RNAcentral. Lineage: Eukaryota; Metazoa; Chordata; Mammalia; Perissodactyla; Equidae.